AGAGUUUGAUCCUGGCUCAGAGUUAACGCUGGCAGCGUGCAUAACACAUGCAAGUCGAGCGGGACUGUUUGAGAUUAUAUCAAUGAUAGUUUAGCGGCAGACGAGUGAGUAACACGUAAGAAAUCUACUAAAGUCGGGGACAACUUGCCGAAAGGCGAGCUAAUACCCGAUAUAAUCCCGAUGUGGCAUCACAAUGGGAU
RNAcentral lists this ribosomal RNA (200 nucleotides) under uncultured bacterium. RNAcentral's name for it is "partial 16S ribosomal RNA". It matches the Rfam family "Bacterial small subunit ribosomal RNA", at positions 8 to 201 of the family's 1533-position model. The record is from RNAcentral.